AACGAACGCUGGCGGCGUGCCUAACACAUGCAAGUCGGUGCGAGAAAGUUCCUUCGGGAGCGAGUAAAGCGGCGCACGGGUGAGUAACACGUAGGUAACCUGCCCCCCAGUCUGGAACAACUAGAGGAAACUCUAGCUAAUGCCGGAUGAGACCACGAUCCCUUCGGGGGUUGCGGCCAAAGAUGGCCUCUACUUGUAAGCUAUCGCUGAGGGAUGGGCCUGCGGGCCAUUAGCUUGUUGGUGAGGUAACGGCUCACCAAGGCUGUGAUGGCUAGCUGGUCUGAGAGGAUGACCAGCCACACUGGGACUGAGACACGGCCCAGACUCCUACGGGAGGCAGCAGUGGGGAAUAUUGCGCAAUGGGCGAAAGCCUGACGCAGCGACGCCGCGUGGGUGAUGAAGGCC
Molecule: ribosomal RNA, 405 nt
Filed under: uncultured bacterium
Lineage: Bacteria
Description: bacterial SSU rRNA
Rfam family: Bacterial small subunit ribosomal RNA
Source: RNAcentral